UCAAAAACAUGGCUCUCUGUGUUAAAGAGAUAGGGAGUCUCGCCUGCUCAAUGAUGUUCUCAUUAAAUAGCCGCAGUAUCCUGACUGCGUGAAAGUAGCAUAAUAAUUUGCCUUUUAAUUGGUGGCUGGUAUCAACGGUAUGAUGAGGGUGAAGCUGUCUCUUAUUUAUUCUAUUGAAUUUACCUACUAGGUGAAAAGGCCUAGAUAAUUUUAUAAGACAAGAAGACCCUGUCAAGCUUUACAAAACUAAAAUUUAUUCUAUGUCUUUGUUUGGUUGGGGCACCGGGGGGCACAUAAAAUCCCUCCUUUUUUCCUGCCUUUCUAGGGAUGAUCCGCAUUAGCGAUCUAAGGAAAAAGCUACUGCAGGGAUAACAGCGUAAUUUUCUUUGUGAGUCCUUAUUUUAAAGAAAGUUUGCGACCUCGAUGUUGGAUUAGGGUAUCCUGAAGGUGCAGAAGCUUUCAAGGGUUGGUUUGUUCAACCAUUAAAACC
Molecule: ribosomal RNA, 490 nt
Filed under: Scutellastra cochlear
Lineage: Eukaryota; Metazoa; Mollusca; Gastropoda; Patellidae
Description: partial 16S ribosomal RNA
Rfam family: Bacterial large subunit ribosomal RNA
Source: RNAcentral